RNAcentral lists this ribosomal RNA (253 nucleotides) under uncultured bacterium. Its description in RNAcentral is "partial 16S ribosomal RNA". It matches the Rfam family "Bacterial small subunit ribosomal RNA", at positions 524 to 776 of the family's 1533-position model. The record is from RNAcentral.
GACAGAGGGUGCAAACGUUGUUCGGAAUUACUGGGCGUAAAGCGUGUGUAGGCGGCCGCGCAAGUCGGAUGUGAAAUCCCCGGGCUCAACCCGGGAAGGGCACCCGAAACUGCACGGCUCGAGUACCGGAGAGGUUGGUGGAAUUCUCGGUGUAGAGGUGAAAUUCGAAGAUAUCGAGAGGAACACCGGUGGCGAAGGCGGCCAACUGGACGAGUACUGACGCUGAGACACGAAAGCGUGGGGAGCAAACAGG